Molecule: long non-coding RNA, 1694 nt
Organism: Maniola jurtina (meadow brown)
Lineage: Eukaryota; Metazoa; Arthropoda; Insecta; Lepidoptera; Nymphalidae
Exons: 2
Source: RefSeq, a predicted model, not a curated record
GUAGGUACAACACAACAUAAAGGUCGUUGGACGUAACUAUUUUUAUAGAAAUAUAUUUCCCAAGAUCGGCCGUAAAGCUUGUAUUUUCUCAUAUAAAAAUUAUAUUUCACGAAAUACAAACCAAAAAAUCAAGGUGCCUUAUUAAGUAAUUUAAUCGCUUAAUGCACAUUCUUCGUCGUUAUGUGUACCUUAAUCAUAAAAUAAAUUUAGAACAAAAGUCACAACUUUGGUAUUUUUAGAUAGAAUAUAGUCAACGUCAUUUUUUAGUAGUUUGCAUUUAAAUCUUGCGUUGCAAUAGCCAAUAAUUUUUCUUACUAGAUUAUAGGUUACAGAUUUUUUAAAUCUAUACUUACAUACAAUUAUUCUAUUUUAUUCACAAAAUAAGUAUAAUACUUUCUGUGGGACCUGCGUUCAACUUACCUAGAUUCUCCUGGUUAAAAUUGUACCUUUACUUACCAGAAAAACCCGAAUCACUCUAAUAAUAUCAUGUUUAGCAGGUUCUUAAACUUUUUACAAAAUAAGAUUUUAAGUUAACUUUAAAACGUUUGGCUGUUAUAAUGAUUUCAUUGAUAAAUAAUUUGUUUAAUUGGCAUUUUGGUAAGAAAUUAUUUAAUUGGCAAUUGCAUGCGUUAUACCUGAAUUAUUUCACUUAAACAAUAAUUGACACAAUUGAAACUAUACCUACCAACAAUAUUGAUUUUUUUAUUCUUUAUUUUUCACAACGAUUAUAUUUGUGAUUCAUCACUAAGUGAAAUCAUUUUAAAAGAUGUUUAGGUACAUACCUAAUGCUACUUUUAUUAUUAACUAUUUAGAUCUAAGUUAUUAUGAUACGUCACUUGGAGGUUCAAAAUAGUUGGCUUUUUAGAUUAAGUAAGUAAAUUUUGAAACUUCGACUGGCUUAUCGUAUUAAAUUAUGUUUAAGUGUAUUCAAUAAACAAAACGACUUGUUAUCCUAUCUCCUUCAAGUACGAAGUUAAAUUUUCUAAUUAAUUUUGUAAUAGAUAACGUAACUCUAAUAAGACGUCUAUUUUCGGGAUGAGAUACGGGGCUUAUUACAUUUAUUAGGACAUCAGGACAUCUUGGCUUUUAAAAUAGGUAAUUAGUUACAUAAAAUGAAGAAAACAGAUUCAUUCACUAGCGGUGUCGCAGACACACACUUUUACUACCACUUUUAUAAGUUACGCUGAUGUACCUGCGCAGAAGCCUUAUUUUUGAAUGGCACGACAAUAUCUCAUCUCAGCAAAUCAUAGCGCGAGUCCGUCCGCUAUUGGUUCGCCUACGCGCCAUGUUUUGUACGCGCGGUAUGAGCGAGAUAGCAUGAGUCUCUAUUGUUCUUGUGUUUAAAACCUUAACGUCAAGCAAUAAGGUCUGUAUUUCAUUGAUGUACAUUCUGUUUUAGUCAGCGUUAGGUUGCGUUUUUUUGCGCAAAAGAAUUUUGCUGAUGUGACUUAUAAAAGUGGAAGUAGAUAAUCUACCUACCAAUGUAAUAUCGUUCAUCGGUGGCACCCGGGAUGGUAGGUGUAAAAAGCCCCGCACUCAUUAAUUUUUUUAAAUUGUAUUCCAAAUAUACUUUAGAUUUAACUAGUUGUUUGAUUCCUUGUAAUUUGAUAGGAAACUUUUUAUCACACGUCAUUAUUAUUAUAAGUUUUGAGUCUUGAUAUUGUAAUUCUUACGAAAUAAACGAAAUGAUUUUA